Molecule: RNA transcript, 1797 nt
Organism: Nymphalis io (European peacock)
Lineage: Eukaryota; Metazoa; Arthropoda; Insecta; Lepidoptera; Nymphalidae
Exons: 12
Source: RefSeq, a predicted model, not a curated record
GGAACGCUCAGAGCGUUCAGUCGGCACUCGCGACUACCAGCGGUAAAACGCGUUAGGCUCGGGACGCUCACUCAACCCAAACUUUGCGCUCAUCAAUAAACAAACAUACCUUCGCCGUGUCUUACAUUACAGAAAGGUCAAACACCCCGUGGUAUGGACUAAAUAAAUUAAAUUCCUAGAAAUAUAUUGUUAAAACUGUUGUAAAAAAUUGUUUAACAUUGAAAAACCGCAAACAGUAAGAGCCCAUCGCCGCAUUCACCACCGAUUAAAGUUGCCGAGCUCUUCAGCGACAAAAUGCCUCUCAUGAACUCGUGCUGUUGCUGGCGAAGCCUCCGCCGAGGAUGCUACGCUUCAGCAGUAUAUACAUUGAUUUACUUCUGCGUCACGAUUGUGACAAUGGGACACUUCAUAGACGUGGAGCAUCGCUAUCUGAACGGCGAUAUGAAGGAGCCUGAGUCCGAAAGCUUCUUGGAACCGGAUAAGAUAACACCAGUUACCGUAUCGCUGAACAUCACCCUGCUGGCUUGCAGCACACUUGGACUCCUCGCUUGUAUGCUUCUUAUAAUUGGCAUUUAUAAGGAUAUAAAGUUCUUGCUGCUGCCUUGGAUCUUUGUUAUGGGAUUGGAGACACUGGUUGAGGUUGUAAAUCUAGUCUACUUGUUCUACUUGCAGACGAUAAAUCCCGACAUCUUUAGACAAGCGUGGUUACUUCAGGAUGCUGAACAGUCAAUGCUUCGUUGUUUCAUUUGCACAAGCUAUCAUCAACGUACUGUUUUUGGCUACUUCUCGCUUGAUUUCAACCCUAUAACGUCGUUCCUGUUUACCCUCGACUUUUUCAUCAUCGUGUUGAAUAUCUAUGCCAUGGUGUGCGUGAUAUCGCAGUUUCAAGAAUAUCUGGACGGGAGAGGCACCGCUGCCUUCGACUACUCAGAUAGACUUGCGGUUGUGCAGUACACAGCUACCGCACAACACACCACUACCACCAGCUCAGCACCAAGUGGACGUCGCCGCUCAGCACCCAGACCUUUGCCCAGCCGAUGUGACCCCGAAGAUUUCUCCGAAGCCCCCAGUCGCGCCAUUACAUCCGUCCUCUCGAAACCGAGCCGAUCUGCUAUUAAGAAGCAUGUCCAGUUUCCCGAUGAAAGUUGCAUAGAGGAAGCUAAUGAGGCCCCGAAUGGUGAUGAAAAAGCAGUUGGCCACAUACAUAAACAACCAUCUAAGAAAUCACUUCAAACCAGAACACAGUCAACAUGAAUGUUGCUUAGAAUAGAAGCCGAGGUUUAAAUUAUUCUUAAUAUUAACUUCAAAUCGAUAAUUCAGCAUUGCUAAACAAGAACAACAUUCAACAUAUAUAUACAUUGAUAGAUAAUAGUUUACAGUUGACACUCUCUAAUAUAUGCGACUUGUGGAUCAAACGAGAGUCUAUUAAAUCAUUGGUACGCAGCGUCAUUAGCCGAGAUGGCAGUAGUUGAGUCAACGUUCCGGAUCGCAAUAACCUCGGCCAAGGUUAAAGGUUGUUAAACUUUAUUGUAGAUAUUGUUCAAAGAUAAGAAAACCUUAAAUCAAACAUCAACAACUUUUUCAUUAACAGAAGAGCUCAUUAACAAGCUAUUUCUUAAAAUAUCAAGAGAACAUAAGAAUGUUAAAAAAUAUAGUAUAAGUUAUCGAUAUGAAAUAUCAACUUAUUAUUUUUAACUGCAACACACUUGUCGCCACUAACCAAGACGCCCGCGUCAUCAGCUCUCUCUGGAUGGAGCUGGAGUCGGAGAUUCCUGUACCGGAACGCUGACGGCGUCG